This is a long non-coding RNA of Rhea pennata, 1170 nucleotides long. RefSeq lists it as uncharacterized. Lineage: Eukaryota; Metazoa; Chordata; Aves; Rheiformes; Rheidae. The record is from RefSeq and is a predicted model, not a curated record. The transcript is spliced from 4 exons.
GGAACUUGCUUUAUCUCUGUGGGAAUCUUUCCAACCACUGUGGACAUCCAAGAGCUAUGCUGCAGGGUUUGUAGGAAAGAGUACGUGGGGUGCCAUCAGAUGAUUCACCUUCAAAUAGCAUCAGUAAAAAAUCUCUUGGAUGGUUUCAAAGCAACCAGAUUGCCCUUUCCAGUGUCCUCAGAACUCAGCAAGAAGUGUUCGUUGGGCUCUUAAUUAUUCUUUGGACACUGGCACUGAACCUCAGUUUUUCCUAUAAGAAAGCUUAGAAAGAGCUCUGUGUAAGCUUCCUCUGAGGGUAGAGAAAGCAGCUGGAUUAGCUUUUGGAUUUCACUUCUGGUGUUCUGCAUAUGCUAUCACUAUGGAAUUCCUAUUGCAGCACCUUUUCUUAACAUCAGUCCCAAACCAGAUAUUAUAAUUAGGUGUCUACAUUUUAAUGAACAUUUGUAGGUGUAUGUAAAUAUUUUAAACUCACAAUAUCGCAGAGGUCUAAAAGUAUUAAUUUUUUUUUGUGCUAGGCGAGGUAGGUAUGGUUUUAAUAUGGUAGAAAAACUAGUACCUACCUGGGCAGUAUGGCAAUAUUAUAUAUGAAUUAAAGCUACUUCUGCUCAAGUUCCAUUGUGACCAGUCAGUGUUUAUUAAAUAAUUAUGAAUUUAUUGAUAACAUCUUGAAAUCUGCCUUUGAUAAGAUAAUCGUGUACUUACUACAGUAUUCUUGUGCUAGAACAGCAGCAAUCACUGACCAUGUAAAGUAAAGUUUUAGCAAACUCUCUUAAUCUAAAGUAAGUCUGGUAUUACUGGUCACUUAGUAAUUAUUUAAUCCAGAGGAUGAAAUUACGUCCUAGCCCUGCUGUAAAAAAUAGAGGCAAUUAUUUCAUAUGAUUUAAAAUCAAGUCCUAGAUAAUGACUUCGCAUUUAAGUGUGUAAUUACUGAUGUCCAUAAAUAAACAUCAUAACUCUGCUCAGAUAAUUAAAUUUAAACUAGUACUAAAGGAAGUUUAACUUCCUGGAAAUUUUGUUUGAUACUUUUCAGUACAAACUGAACUUCACUGCAAGUCUACAUCAGCUACAUGUUUGGAAGCAUCAGAAAUGAAACAAUUCAGUUUUAUAUAAGAAAACUGGGCAAUAGAUUUCCAUUUUUAUGCUGUGUGCAUGUAAUUUUAUGGGCUUUGA